GACGAACGCUGACGGUGUGCUUUAGACAUGCAAGUCGAACGCGAAAGCCCUUCGGGUUAGUAGAGUGGCGAACGGGUGAGUAACACGUGGGCAAUCUGCCCCUCGCAGGGGGACAACCGGAGGAAACUCCGGCUAAUACCCCGUACGCUUGCUGGACCGCAUGGUCCGGCAAGGAAAGGUAGCUUCGGCCAUCCGGCGAGGGAUGAGCCCGCGGUGCAUUAGCUAGUUGGUGAGGUAACGGCUCACCAAGGCAACGAUGCAUAGCUGGUCUGAGAGGAUGAUCAGCCACACUGGGACUGAGACACGGCCCAGACUCCUACGGGGAGCAGCAGUCGGGAAUCUUGCGCAAUGGGCGAAAGCCUGACGCAGCAACACCGUGUGAGCGAC
This 387-nucleotide ribosomal RNA is filed under the name uncultured bacterium. Its description in RNAcentral is "bacterial SSU rRNA". It matches the Rfam family "Bacterial small subunit ribosomal RNA", at positions 28 to 409 of the family's 1533-position model. The record is from RNAcentral.